AGCGAACGCUGGCGGCAGGCUUAACACAUGCAAGUCGAGCGGGCACUUCGGUGUCAGCGGCAGACGGGUGAGUAACACGUGGGAACGUACCCUUUGGUUCGGAAUAACGCUGGGAAACUAGCGCUAAUACCGGAUACGCCCUUUUGGGGAAAGGCUUGCUGCCGAAGGAUCGGCCCGCGUCUGAUUAGCUAGUUGGUGGGGUAAUGGCCUACCAAGGCGACGAUCAGUAGCUGGUCUGAGAGGAUGAUCAGCCACACUGGGACUGAGACACGGCCCAGACUCCUACGGGAGGCAGCAGUGGGGAAUAUUGGACAAUGGGCGCAAGCCUGAUCCAGCCAUGCCGCGUGAGUGAUGAAGGCCUUAGGGUUGUAAAGCUCUUUUGUCCGGGACGAUAAUGACGGUACCGGAAGAAUAAGCUCCGGCUAACUUCGUG
This 433-nucleotide ribosomal RNA is filed under the name uncultured bacterium. RNAcentral's name for it is "partial 16S ribosomal RNA". It matches the Rfam family "Bacterial small subunit ribosomal RNA", at positions 29 to 507 of the family's 1533-position model. The record is from RNAcentral.